RNAcentral lists this ribosomal RNA (301 nucleotides) under uncultured bacterium. RNAcentral's name for it is "partial 16S ribosomal RNA". It matches the Rfam family "Bacterial small subunit ribosomal RNA", at positions 509 to 807 of the family's 1533-position model. The record is from RNAcentral.
CAGCCGCCGCGGUAAUACGGAGGGAGCUAGCGUUAUUCGGAAUUACUGGGCGUAAAGCGCACGUAGGCGGCUUUGUAAGUUAGAGGUGAAAGCCUGGAGCUCAACUCCAGAAUUGCCUUUAAGACUGCAUCGCUUGAAUCCAGGAGAGGUGAGUGGAAUUCCGAGUGUAGAGGUGAAAUUCGUAGAUAUUCGGAAGAACACCAGUGGCGAAGGCGGCUCACUGGACUGGUAUUGACGCUGAGGUGCGAAAGCGUGGGGAGCAAACAGGAUUAGAUACCCGAGUAGUCCCUGUCUCUUAUAC